UCAAGUAUAAAGAAAAUCAAAGGAAAGAGAGGUCUUACAUGAAGACAAAGAGCCAUAGUCUGGUAGCCAAGGAUGACUUGCCUGUAUCCUCUCAAAGCGUUUGAUCAACACAUUAUAGCUUAUGUAGUUUGCAGCCCUUCUCUAGCUGUAACUUGAAAAACAGAAGCCCUAGGUUUAGAAAACCUUGUUUGGUUCACAGGCGGUCACCUUGGCUAACCUGACAGGCUCUUGUCUUUCAUGCUCGACCUUAUCAUCUUCCCGGUGUAUGAGUAACUGCACCAUGCUUUCUACCUUGAUGAGCUUCUGAAAGAAACACGCAUGGAAGAUUGCAUCUACAAUGAUUGGAGAAAGCAGAUUUUAUUUCUUCUACAACAAAUUCAGCUUCGAAGAAGGAGAUUUUCCAAUCACACUUUGAAGGGAUCAAGGCAUUCGCGAAGUGUUGUUGAUCUAUCAGCAAUCCUUCUACAAGGUUCGAGACAUAAGUUUGAAGUCGAGAGCUAUUGGACGGGAAGUCGCAAAGCUAUGGGUGUUCAGCGGAUUAAGUCUGUAAUGACCCGGUCAUUUCAUUCCUUUUUCUUUUUCAUGAGAAUUUUACGGAUUAAUUUUUUUUCGUUAAAAUUUCUUUUCUUAGUUCAGUUUCUCUUUAUUUAGUGUCGUCUUGAGUGCUCGAAAAUGGUUUCUGAGACUCUUUUCUUUGGAUUGACAACUUCCUUUAAGGACCAAGUCAUUUCCACAUUUUUUUUGUUUUUCGACACUAUUCACUUUUCGUCAUUUUCCCUAUUUUGUCUUUUCCCCGUUUGUCACAUUCUUCCAUUCAUUUUUCAAUCUUUAUUCUUGUUACCAUCAUUGGGGCCUAGCAUAUGAUUUUCUGCACUUUUAUCUCAAAAUUAAGCAUUUGGUGCCAGUUCGAUCGAUCACAAGUGUCCAUUCGAUCGAUCGAACCUCUCUGCAAUCACUCUGCAGAAAUUAGCUCUAUGUGUAUCGUGCGAACUUUAUUCCAGAUCGAUUCAAUUAUUUCUCGAUUGAUCUAGUUAUCCCUUCGAUCGAUCUCAGUUCUAUACUAAAAUUUUUUUUUAAUCUUUGCAUAUUUCAGAUCUCUGUGUAUCGUUCGAAGUUGUCUAUAGGUUUUCAGAUUUUGGAUCGAUCGAGUUUCGAUCGAUCAUCCUUAGAUCGAUCACAGCUUUGCCCCUUUGACUUUUUGACUUUUUCUUCUUUCUAUUUUUAUUUUAUUUUAUUUUUCAUUUUCUUUUAAUUUUUUAUUUUAUUUUAUUUACUUACUUUUCUCUUUUGAAAAAAAAAAAAAAAAAUCUUUGCAUUCUUUAUUUCCUUGCAUUUUUACUUCUUGCAUUUUUAUUUACUUACCUUUUUAUCUUUGUUUGUGUACAUAUUUGUUUUCUCUUAAAAAAAAUAAUUAAAAAAAAAAAAAAACACCAAAGAAAAAAAAGACGAUUUUUCAAAGCAGCAUUCUGUCUUACUAGAAACGUUGAACUUAACACCCACAUAACACAUUAUGUCGUUUAUCUCUUGUAUCAUACAUGUUCAUGUUCAUUCUUAUUUCUUUAUUUUUCUUACAUUUUGUUUCAUUGUACAUACUUUCAUUAAAAAAAAAUUAAAAAAAAAAAUUUGCAUUCUUUAUUUCAUUGUAUUUUUAUUUAUUGCAUUUUAUUGUGUGUGUGUACAUACUUGUUAUGUUAAAAAAAAAAAAAAAAAAAAAAAGUUUUUAUUUUAAUUUUCAUUUUUUUUUUGUUCUUUUUUGUUUUCAUUUCUUGCAUUGUACAUAUUCUUUCAUUACAUUUUGCCUUCUUUAUUUUUCUUUUUGCAUUUUGUUCAUGCAUUUUAUUCUUUGUUUUUCUUGCAUUUUGUAUAUAACUAAUUUCAUAAAAUGAAAAAUACAAAAAUUUGUUUCAUCAUUAUGCCCUUGUGUGCCUUCAUGCUUUCAUGUUUAGUGUAGGGCUUGCUCUCUUAUCUCUACCAUCUUAUACUAUAUUGCCUUGGAAAUUUGUUUCAUCAUUAUGCCCUUGUGUGCCUUCAUGCUUUCAUGUUUAGUGUAGGGCUUGCUCUCUUAUCUCUACCAUCUUAUACUAUAUUGCCUUGGAAUGCAUAAUUUGAGUAAUCUUUUCCCAUUUGAUAUUUGAUGUGAGUUUUAGAAUGUGGUUAUUCAAGUAGGUUAUUGAUUCCAAGUUUGAGGGAGAUGUCUUUCGAAUUGGAUUAUUACCGGGCUUCAUGCUUUUGACACUACGGUAUACUCUUUCUAUCUUUUCCAUUGUUCUCAUUGCACAUUAAGGACAAUGGGCGGUUUAAGUUUGGGGGUAAGGUGGCUUUGUUACAUUCUACUUAAAGUUGAACUUUAAAUGCAUGAUUGAGAUUUGAGAUCCAUGUUAGCUAUGAUUUUGAUCUUUUGAGGACUAUAUUGCUUAGAAUUUUAAAAUUGAUUGACUUGAGAGUUCAAUACUCCUUGUAUGCCUUGUGGAUGCCAUUUAGGAGUAAAUUUUUCAAAAGAUUGAUGUCUUACUUACAUUUGUGGUCCACAUCAUCUUGAUUUUGUGAUUAUUUUGAGAUUCACUCUAUGAUUCUACACUAACACAGGUGCACACUAGCAUUCAUUUGUGGGGUACAUGCUUUAUUGAUUAUUGAAUUGGUUAUAUCCCAAUUGAGCUAGUAGUGCAUUGAAAGCUUUCAUUUUGAUAAAGGUGGAUAACAAACCCUUUUCAUUGAGUAACUGGGAUUCUAGCCUCAUCAAGCACUGAAUUUCUCGCGCCAAAAGAUGGAGGGCCCAAACUCUAGGCUAAUAACUUGAAAAAAAAAAAAAACAAAAAAAAACAAAACAAAAAGUUGUUGCAAAAGCAAAUAAAAAGUGAGGACUUCUCCCAAAAGGUGAAAAGUGGGAAAUGAUUAGAUGGAAGUUGUUUUGAUUUGUAUCCUAGUUGAUUUGAGCUUGCAAGUCCUUAGGGGUAUUUUAACAUCUAAUGUCCUAAAGCCAUCUGGUUUAGGAGUCAUUGACCUAACACUCAACCUCAUAAAUCGCUAUAAAGCUUAAUAGAUCAACACAUAGCACUAUGCUUCCAUCUUUGAUCCUUAGGGAUAAUAAAUAAAUAAAUAAAAUAAAAACUAAAAUCGAGUGAAAAUAAUAAGCGCACCUAAAUCAAUAAAGUUUUAAUAAAAGGUCCACUUUUUGUCUUGAUGAUCUGUACUAAAUUUGUGUGCUAGUUUGAGGGUAAGGAUAUGAUCAUUUCUUUAGUUGGCUUAGAUAGCAACAUACUUGAUGUCGAUCCACUCAAAAAGGAUUCUAGAGUUGUUUUGAUUUGCAUGAUCAUUUUCUUAAUGUAUGGAGGACCAUACUUGUUUGUUUGAUAUUGAAAUUUUGGGAGAUUGCUUGGAAAUGGUUGAAAAAUUAUAUACUUGAGGUAGUUUUCUCUCAAUACUUGUUUGGAAUAUUGGUGCCUCUUUUAUAAGAAUGAGCUUAAUGUUUGUGAGUAUCAUUUCUGGAAACCCUCAAGAGACUUCACUCGUCCACUAGGGGAAACCUAUAGGUUUAAAAGGUUUGUUGCAUACACUAAAUGCAAUUGUGUUCCCUACGAAAGUGGUGUUAUCUAUUUAUUGCUUUCUAGAUUCAUAGUUGUAUAGUUGUUCAUUUCAUUCCUUUACUUUGUAGUUCAUUGCUAGGGACUAGCAAUAUUUAAGUUUGGGGGUGUGAUGAGCGCUGAAAAGUGCGCUUUUAAACUCCUUAAGCUUAAGUAUUCUAGAACCUUUAUCUAUCUUAUUUUUCCGUUUUAGACUAAUUUCAUGUUAUUUGCUUUUUUAGGUCAAUAAUGUUAAAACGAGCUAAAAAUGAAUUCUUAAGGCCUCUUUGGAGUCAAACUAAGUCUUGGUGAGAAUCUAAAGCAAAUGAAGGCUGAUCUGAAGUAAAAGGAGAAUGAUGCUGAAAAUCUGCCAAGUCUGAUCGAUCGAACCCAGAUUGAUCGAAUUCCUGAUCAAUCACACCAAGAUUGAUCGAACCCUGAUCAAUCGAAGAAAAGUUUGAUCGAUCGAACUGUUCGCGAAAGUUAUUAAAAAGCAUAUCUGAAGCUCAUUUCGAACCUUGAAAGAUAAGAUUCUAUGGCCAAGUUCUCACAUUUUUGGGCUCUCAAAGCCUUGUAUAUAUGAUAGAUUGAACCAUUUUUAUAUUGAGAUCUAUAUUUUUACAUUGUAAUUUCUAUAUUGUUGUAACUUUCCCUCUCUAGAAAAUUAGAGAUUAAGGUUAAAAGAAAAGAGGGAAGUGGAGGCACACUCCAAGAACACAUCUCUAGAUCCACAUACUCUCUCUCUCUAAAGUUUCAAAGAAGAAGAAGAAGAAGAUGGAGUCAUGUUUGGAGCUUACCCUUGAGGGUUUCAUGACCACAUCCACCUCUUCCAUGAUUGGCUAGAUUUACACUUAAGGCUUGGAUGAACCCUAAGUCUUGUGUAAUCUAAACCCUUGUAUUUCUAUUUUUGGGGAUUUAUAUAUAUAUUGUUGUGGUUA
This is a long non-coding RNA of Cornus florida, 4498 nucleotides long. RefSeq lists it as uncharacterized. Lineage: Eukaryota; Viridiplantae; Streptophyta; Magnoliopsida; Cornales; Cornaceae. The transcript is spliced from 2 exons. The record is from RefSeq and is a predicted model, not a curated record.